UGUAAGCGUAUACCAAAGUUGUUGCAGUUAAAACGCUCGUAGUCGGAGUUUGGCAGUUCCGGAUGUGUGCACGUCGUGUGCGCACUUCGCGGGGAUUGCUUUUGUGGUCUUGCGUAGGAUGAGGCACUUUUAUUAGUGAACGUCCUCACGCAACCACUUUUUACUGUGAGAAAAUCAGAGUGCUCAAAGCAGGCAUUUGCCGUGAAUGUAUUAGCAUGGAAUAAUAGAAUAGGACUUGGUUCUAUUUUGUUGGUUUGUUGGGACUGAGUAAUGAUUAAGAGGGACAGUUGGGGGCAUUUGUAUUUCGGUGCUAGAGGUGAAAUUCUUAGAUUACCGAAAGACAAACUGCUGCGAAAGCGUCUGCCAAGGAUGUUUUCAUUGA
Molecule: ribosomal RNA, 382 nt
Filed under: uncultured eukaryote
Lineage: Eukaryota
Description: partial 18S ribosomal RNA
Rfam family: Eukaryotic small subunit ribosomal RNA
Source: RNAcentral